RNAcentral lists this ribosomal RNA (1554 nucleotides) under Salmonella enterica subsp. arizonae serovar 53:-:- str. SA20100345. RNAcentral's name for it is "bacterial SSU rRNA". It matches the Rfam family "Bacterial small subunit ribosomal RNA". Lineage: Bacteria; Pseudomonadati; Pseudomonadota; Gammaproteobacteria; Enterobacterales; Enterobacteriaceae. The record is from RNAcentral.
UUAAAUUGAAGAGUUUGAUCAUGGCUCAGAUUGAACGCUGGCGGCAGGCCUAACACAUGCAAGUCGAACGGUAACAGGAAGCAGCUUGCUGCUUCGCUGACGAGUGGCGGACGGGUGAGUAAUGUCUGGGAAACUGCCUGAUGGAGGGGGAUAACUACUGGAAACGGUGGCUAAUACCGCAUAACGUCGCAGGACCAAAGAGGGGGACCUUCGGGCCUCUUGCCAUCAGAUGUGCCCAGAUGGGAUUAGCUUGUUGGUGAGGUAACGGCUCACCAAGGCGACGAUCCCUAGCUGGUCUGAGAGGAUGACCAGCCACACUGGAACUGAGACACGGUCCAGACUCCUACGGGAGGCAGCAGUGGGGAAUAUUGCACAAUGGGCGCAAGCCUGAUGCAGCCAUGCCGCGUGUAUGAAGAAGGCCUUCGGGUUGUAAAGUACUUUCAGCGGGGAGGAAGGUGUUGUGGUUAAUAACCGCAGCAAUUGACGUUACCCGCAGAAGAAGCACCGGCUAACUCCGUGCCAGCAGCCGCGGUAAUACGGAGGGUGCAAGCGUUAAUCGGAAUUACUGGGCGUAAAGCGCACGCAGGCGGUCUGUCAAGUCGGAUGUGAAAUCCCCGGGCUCAACCUGGGAACUGCAUUCGAAACUGGCAGGCUUGAGUCUUGUAGAGGGGGGUAGAAUUCCAGGUGUAGCGGUGAAAUGCGUAGAGAUCUGGAGGAAUACCGGUGGCGAAGGCGGCCCCCUGGACAAAGACUGACGCUCAGGUGCGAAAGCGUGGGGAGCAAACAGGAUUAGAUACCCUGGUAGUCCACGCCGUAAACGAUGUCUACUUGGAGGUUGUGCCCUUGAGGCGUGGCUUCCGGAGCUAACGCGUUAAGUAGACCGCCUGGGGAGUACGGCCGCAAGGUUAAAACUCAAAUGAAUUGACGGGGGCCCGCACAAGCGGUGGAGCAUGUGGUUUAAUUCGAUGCAACGCGAAGAACCUUACCUGGUCUUGACAUCCACGGAAGUUUUCAGAGAUGAGAAUGUGCCUUCGGGAACCGUGAGACAGGUGCUGCAUGGCUGUCGUCAGCUCGUGUUGUGAAAUGUUGGGUUAAGUCCCGCAACGAGCGCAACCCUUAUCCUUUGUUGCCAGCGGUCCGGCCGGGAACUCAAAGGAGACUGCCAGUGAUAAACUGGAGGAAGGUGGGGAUGACGUCAAGUCAUCAUGGCCCUUACGACCAGGGCUACACACGUGCUACAAUGGCGCAUACAAAGAGAAGCGACCUCGCGAGAGCAAGCGGACCUCAUAAAGUGCGUCGUAGUCCGGACUGGAGUCUGCAACUCGACUCCAUGAAGUCGGAAUCGCUAGUAAUCGUGGAUCAGAAUGCCACGGUGAAUACGUUCCCGGGCCUUGUACACACCGCCCGUCACACCAUGGGAGUGGGUUGCAAAAGAAGUAGGUAGCUUAACCUUCGGGAGGGCGCUUACCACUUUGUGAUUCAUGACUGGGGUGAAGUCGUAACAAGGUAACCGUAGGGGAACCUGCGGUUGGAUCACCUCCUUACCUGAAAGAA